CGGACGGGUGGAGUAAUGUCUGGGAAACUGCCUGAUGGAGGGGGAUAACUACUGGAAACGGUAGCUAAUACCGCAUAACGUCGCAAGACCAAAGAGGGGGACCUUAGGGCCUCUUGCCAUCGGAUGUGCCCAGAUGGGAUUAGCUUGUUGGUGGGGUAACGGCUCACCAAGGCGACGAUCCCUAGCUGGUCUGAGAGGAUGACCAGCCACACUGGAACUGAGACACGGUCCAG
This 233-nucleotide ribosomal RNA is filed under the name uncultured bacterium. RNAcentral's name for it is "partial 16S ribosomal RNA". It matches the Rfam family "Bacterial small subunit ribosomal RNA", at positions 99 to 334 of the family's 1533-position model. The record is from RNAcentral.